AGCAUUAUAUUAUUAUUUUUCAUUCCUAAUCAUGUAAAAUGGAGUGGAGCAUAUCAGGAUGGGGAUGGUUUAACACUAGGAGAGGAGGUGGAACAGUGCAAUGCGUUUCUCUCCAGGAUUGCAGUGACCACAAAACACUAAAGCAGGGCGCACAGACAUGCUGACUCUCAUGGCCAUGCGCUGGAAUCAAGCAAAGUUUAACAAUUUGGCCACCGCACUGAGCCGCCAAUAUCAGAAGCAACAACAACAACCACUACAAAUGAUGUUGAUGCUUUGGCCAGCAGAAUUUAGGUGCUGUUGGCGAGUUUUAAGAGGCGUU
Long non-coding RNA from Silurus meridionalis, 319 nucleotides. RefSeq lists it as uncharacterized. The record is from RefSeq and is a predicted model, not a curated record. The transcript is spliced from 3 exons. Lineage: Eukaryota; Metazoa; Chordata; Actinopteri; Siluriformes; Siluridae.